RNAcentral lists this ribosomal RNA (460 nucleotides) under uncultured bacterium. Its description in RNAcentral is "partial 16S ribosomal RNA". It matches the Rfam family "Bacterial small subunit ribosomal RNA", at positions 338 to 795 of the family's 1533-position model. The record is from RNAcentral.
CCUACGGGGGGCAGCAGUGAGGAAUAUUGGUCAAUGGACGCAAGUCUGAACCAGCCAUGCCGCGUGCAGGAAGACGGCUCUAUGAGUUGUAAACCGCUUUUGUACGAGGGCAAACGCAGAUACUCGUAUCCGUAUGAAAGUAUCGUACGAAUAAGCAUCGGCUAACUCCGUGCCAGCAGCCGCGGUAAUACGGAGGAUUCAAGCGUUAUCCGGAUUUAUUGGGUUUAAAGGGUGCGUAGGCGGUCGGGUAAGUUAGAGGUGAAAUCCCGGGGCUCAACCUCGGCAUUGCCGCUGAUACUGUUCGGCUAGAGAGUAGUUGCGGUAGGCGGAAUGUAUGGUGUAGCGGUGAAAUGCUUAGAGAUCGUACAGAACACCGAUUGCGAAGGCAGCUUACCAAACUACGACUGACGUUGAGGCACGAAAGCGUGGGGAGCAAACAGGAUUAGAUACCCUAGUAGUC